UACGGAGGGGGCUAGCGUUGUUCGGAAUUACUGGGCGUAAAGCGCGCGUAGGCGGAUGUUCAAGUCGGGGGUGAAAUCCCGGGGCUCAACCUCGGAACUGCCUUUGAUACUGUCAGUCUAGAGUCCGGAAGAGGUGGGUGGAAUUCCUAGUGUAGAGGUGAAAUUCGCAGAUAUUAGGAAGAACACCGGUGGCGAAGGCGGCCCACUGGUCCGGUACUGACGCUGAGGUGCGAAAGCGUGGGGAGCAAACAGG
This 253-nucleotide ribosomal RNA is filed under the name uncultured bacterium. Its description in RNAcentral is "partial 16S ribosomal RNA". It matches the Rfam family "Bacterial small subunit ribosomal RNA", at positions 524 to 776 of the family's 1533-position model. The record is from RNAcentral.